This 77-nucleotide transfer RNA is filed under the name Lachnospiraceae bacterium. RNAcentral's name for it is "tRNA-Glu". It matches the Rfam family "tRNA". From Rfam's summary of the family: Transfer RNA (tRNA) molecules are approximately 80 nucleotides in length. Lineage: Bacteria; Bacillati; Bacillota; Clostridia; Lachnospirales; Lachnospiraceae. The record is from RNAcentral.
GGCUGAUUGGUCAAGCGGUUAANNUAAGACGUCGCCCUCUCACGGCGAAAACAGGGGUUCGAUUCCCCUAUCAGCUG